RNAcentral lists this unclassified non-coding RNA (240 nucleotides) under soil metagenome. Its description in RNAcentral is "partial contains 5.8S ribosomal RNA, internal transcribed spacer 2, and large subunit ribosomal RNA". The record is from RNAcentral.
AAGACUAUAGACCUGCGGAGUACCUGCGAAGGAUCAUUAACGUAUCUAUGAUGGGGUGCGGAGCGCCCUGCUCCGGUCGAACGGCCGUGCAGCGGGUGCGCCGCCCCCGUCCCACCUCACAAACCCACUGUGAACAUUCACCGGUGGAGGGGGCUCGGUCUGCGCCGUGUCCCCGAUGCCGAAUACCCAAACUCCAGUUGCAAAGAACGUCGUGCGGACUCGGUGCCGCCUAAAACAUGU